CGUGCGCCCGGGGUGCUGCCCUCGCUCUGCGGCCCGGGCGGGCCCGCCCCGGCUGCCGAGGGCCGAGGGCCCUGCACUCGCACACGGGCAUCGCCUCUGCUUUUCGCUUCACCCUUGCCGGUUUUAAGCUCCAUUUUACAGCAUCCAGCUUAGCCACUGCCACGCUUUGCGCCUGGACCCGAUGUUCUCUGCUGGAAUUCAUGUGGGGCACGAAGUAGCGGCCUCACUGAGCUGGAGCUCUCAGUCCUGCCCUUGCUACCCCCUUCGUGAACAAAUAGGUUUCCCCACUACGACCAGGAUUAUUUCACACGUCAGCGUGAGGCCCGUGUUUGAGUUAGCACGGUCACUGAAGUGCUGCUGCUCCCAGUGAGAAGUCAGGCACACCAUGAAGGGAACACAGAGGAGGAGCCUGUAUUAUUGCUGCUUCAUCUUUUGGUAAAAUGGAACACUUCACUGCCAGUGCUGCCCUGAGGCACCUGGCACAUUAAAAUAAAACUACCCCAACAUCACCCACCCCUGCAAAACUAUCUUCAAGAAACAUUUGCUGCACAUUCAGCCUCUGUCCAUAACUCCUGUCUGAUCACAGACACUGGACACUCCUACUGUGUAUCAGUGGACUUUGGACUAAAGAGAUGAAAUCUAGGAUCUCAGCAUGUCCUGAAAUCCCUUAUUUCCCUCCAUGCAUCCCACUCCUUAUGUAUGCCACAGAAUGUAUCAGUGUUUAGCUCCUCAGUCCCAAGACAGCGAGGACUGGGAACAAGGAAGAAAUAACCAGCUCAGCCAUCCAGGGAGUAAACUCACCACUUUCUGUACAGCACCUCUCAGACAGUUUUUCAAAACUGCAAAGUGUGUCACACAGAGCAGUCAGCAUCUCCCAGCAAGGCAGUCUGGAAAACAGUCAAAACUGACACCACCACAGAAGGACAUGUCACUCCCAGCAGUUUCCACUGACUAUUUUGUAUAGAAAGGAUAUUUUUUUGCGUAUUGCAUAUAUCGUAAGCAUUAAGAAUAUCCACUGGAAGUCUGGUACAAUAACAUCUAAGAGUUUUGCAGAAGUGUUUGAGUACUCCUGAGUAAAUAACUCCUGUUCUCUUAGAGGCAAUUUACUUUUAAUUAUAUCUAAUAUACUCAAUAGUUAAAAGAAAUAGGCUCAGGAAAAGCACUUAAAAAUAUCUAAAACCUAUUUAUAAAUGUCUACUCAAGGUCUUGCAUAAUUUGCUUUUAUUUUACAUAUGAACAAUGUCUUAACUUCCCCCUUUUUUUUCUCAUAGUCUCAUCCCAUUCACUACACAUUUAUGUAAGCUGCAAAGUAAGAUUCGUGGCCAAUCAUUUCAAGAAUUCAUUUAUCUUGUAAAAAUCUGUUUAACUAAUACUGCAGUUUCUGAUGAGAAAAAAAAAAAGAGUAUUUUGGAGAAGUAUUCAUCACCAAAGGUUUUAGCUCCAAAACAUACAAAAAACUGCUCUCAACAUUAGGAUUAACAGAAGAAAGUUUUGUCUAAUCAGAGAGAAUUUCCUUCCUGUUAUGAUGGAGCAAGUGGCAAGGUUUUUCUGCCCUAAUACAUCACUUAAUCAUAGUCUCAGGUUUUGAAUCUCCACAAAUGGUAUGGGCAAAUCCAAAUUGUUGCCCACUUUGGUCCUGUGAUGCAGUCUCCUGAAAAUUUACUGCAUCUACUCAUAUUUAGUCAGUAAACUGUUUGCUUUGUUGAGGAGGGGGAAGGAGGUGGGAUGUUGGGAGAAGGUGACAAGGAGAAGCGGGCAAAGUCAGAAGGAAGCAAGGGAAUAAAGACAGAAAGAUUUGACCAAGUGAUUUGGACUGAACUCAUUAGGGUGAGAAAAUUCAGCUAAAGGCCUAUACUGCAGGAAUAGAAAAACAUAGUUAAUAAGUAACAAGAGCUGAUCCUUCACCUCCCUUCUCAUGAGAAGUUCUAAGGACUUAUACAAAGCAAAACAAAGCAAAAUCUUUGUUUCAUAAGCACAUUAAUUAGCCCCCAUGAAAUAGCAGAUCUGAGAUACAUGGAAGUGAAAUACUUCAAUGAUUCCCCCAAAUACCUGUCUUGACAUUCAUAACAUUUAUGAAGAGUCCAAAAGCUGUUUAAAGCAGGAAACUGAAGGCACAUCCACAAGCACUAACUGUUUAUAUAGCCUCCCCUAUUUUAGCAUACAUUAUUUAUGUGACCAUGAAUAUGUUUUCAAGGGUAGCCCUAAUGAGGCACAAAUUUACUGAGUACAGGAAUACCAACUUAAUGUAGCACAUCCACUUACUGACAGAAAGCAGCAAGUCAAGGGACCAUGUAGUCAUCCCUCCAAAAUUACAAAUAACUGUGAUCCUAAGCAUAAGGACUUACACUGGCAAAACUUCAGCUGAUAAUUUGCCAGCAGUGAGUGUUGAACACACUCCAUAAUAAAUGGCAACUCUGAUAGUGCUAGUGACAAUCACUCAGAUCUCGUAGACUGCUCACCUCCUUUAUGUUCACCAGUAUUAUAGGAGAUGUCAAAACCAAUAUUCUUUACAGCUGUUAGCAUUUUGCAGCCCAAAUCACAUAGAGUAAUGCUUAGAGAGUUUUCAAGGAGCUCCCAACAUUCAAUUUUCUCCAUCAGAUUGCCCUAAACAAAUCUAAUUUCGUAUCACAUCUCCUUGUGGAAAUACUUCACUGUCAUUUCAUCUCACUCAUGUACUUAACUGAGCAGCUGAAGACGUCAUCCUCUUGUGACAUACAGAAGCCCUUACUGUUGUAUGUCCUUCUAAUAAAGUAGUCAAUCAUAAUAAUACCCAAUCAGCUGGCUUAAUGAAGUAAGAAUUAGGUUAUUAAAGAUGAAAAGAGGUAUUUUCAGAUGACUGCUUGCAUCAUUUUUUAAUUUUUCUAUCAGAGUGAAUAAUUUCUUUCAAUAACUAUCAGGGGAGAUUAGCAUCCUUGGGAAAAAUUAGCUAUUGUUCCCACCAGACUGUCAUGUAAGUAAUGUCUGAUUAUAUAAAAUGCAUAACUACCUUCUUUCAACAGCUGGGUUUUCUUAAUCAUCCCUCAUAUAAAUAUAAUUCCUUGAUAUAUAUUUUAAAUAUAGUUCUAUGGUUUUAUCCUCACUUGCCUAAACUUUCAGUACCUUUUCUAUCCUCAACAUAGAGAAUGUACCAUAUACUGCACAUCACAGGGGUGGAUUAUCCCCAGCCUGCUGUAGACAAGCUCUCUUUCCAGUCACAGUUCAGCCUCUCUUUAUCCAGUUUCUACACAUCAUGGUCUUUUUUCUUGACCAAGGGGACACUCCCCAUACAAGUUUUUUUGAUGGAUGUAAAACUCAUAUACCAUUGUUUGAUUGUUGUUUUGUUGUUUUUUGGGGGGUUUUUUUGGUUUUUUGGUUGGGUUUUUUUUGUGUGUGUCUGUGUUUGGUGGGUUUUGGGUUUUGUUUGUUUUAUUAGAGAACUCUAAAUUUACCAGAAGUGUCAGUUCUGAAGAGCACUGAAAAAAAAAAAAAAGAAUAAAUAAAAUUCAGGAAUGAA
Molecule: long non-coding RNA, 3493 nt
Organism: Corvus hawaiiensis (hawaiian crow)
Lineage: Eukaryota; Metazoa; Chordata; Aves; Passeriformes; Corvidae
Exons: 2
Source: RefSeq, a predicted model, not a curated record